This 1293-nucleotide ribosomal RNA is filed under the name uncultured Bacteroidota bacterium. RNAcentral's name for it is "bacterial SSU rRNA". It matches the Rfam family "Bacterial small subunit ribosomal RNA", at positions 80 to 1380 of the family's 1533-position model. The record is from RNAcentral. Lineage: Bacteria; Pseudomonadati; Bacteroidota.
CUUGCUAUCCAGAGAGCGGCGUACGGGUGCGUAACACGUGUGCAACCUGCCUUUAUCUGGGGGAUAGCCUUUCGAAAGGAAGAUUAAUACCCCAUAAUAUGGUGUCCGGCAUCGGUCGCCAUUGAAAGCCUCGGCGGAUAGAGAUGGGCACGCGCAAGAUUAGGUAGUUGGCGGGGUAACGGCCCACCAAGUCGAUGAUCUUUAGGGGUCCUGAGAGGGAGAUCCCCCACACUGGUACUGAGACACGGACCAGACUCCUACGGGAGGCAGCAGUGAGGAAUAUUGGACAAUGGGUGGAAGCCUGAUCCAGCCAUCCCGCGUGAAGGAUGACGGUCCUAUGGAUUGUAAACUUCUUUUGUACAGGGAUAAACCUGCCCUCGUGAGGGCAGCUGAAGGUACUGUACGAAUAAGCACCGGCUAACUCCGUGCCAGCAGCCGCGGUAAUACGGAGGGUGCGAGCGUUAUCCGGAUUUAUUGGGUUUAAAGGGUCCGUAGGCGGGCCUGUAAGUCAGUGGUGAAAUCUCAUAGCUUAACUAUGAAACUGCCAUUGAUACUGCAGGCCUUGAGUAAAUUUGAAGUGGCUGGAAUAAGUAGUGUAGCGGUGAAAUGCAUAGAUAUUACUUAGAACACCGAUUGCGAAGGCAGGUCACUAAGAUUUAACUGACGCUGAUGGACGAAAGCGUGGGGAGCGAACAGGAUUAGAUACCCUGGUAGUCCACGCCGUAAACGAUGCUAACUCGUUUUUGGAUCUUCGGGUUCAGAGACCAAGCGAAAGUGAUAAGUUAGCCACCUGGGGAGUACGUCCGCAAGGAUGAAACUCAAAGGAAUUGACGGGGGCCCGCACAAGCGGUGGAUUAUGUGGUUUAAUUCGAUGAUACGCGAGGAACCUUACCAAGACUUAAAUGGGAAUUGACAGAUUUAGAAAUAGAUCCUCCUUCGGGCAAUUUUCAAGGUGCUGCAUGGUUGUCGUCAGCUCGUGCCGUGAGGUGUUAGGUUAAGUCCUGCAACGAGCGCAACCCCUGCCAACAGUUGCCAUCAUUCAGUUGGGGACUCUGUUGGGACUGCCUACGCAAGUAGAGAGGAAGGUGGGGAUGACGUCAAAUCAUCACGGCCCUUACGUCUUGGGCCACACACGUAAUACAAUGGCCGGUACAGAGGGCAGCUACCUGGUGACAGGAUGCGAAUCUCGAAAGCCGGUCUCAGUUCGGAUUGGAGUCUGCAACUCGACUCUAUGAAGCUGGAAUCGCUAGUAAUCGCGCAUCAGCCAUGGCGCGGUGAAUACGUUCCCGGGCC